UAGGGAAUCUUCGGCAAUGGGGGCAACCCUGACCGAGCAACGCCGCGUGAGUGAAGAAGGUUUUCGGAUCGUAAAGCUCUGUUGUAAGUCAAGAACGAGUGUGAGAGUGGAAAGUUCACACUGUGACGGUAGCUUACCAGAAAGGGACGGCUAACUACGUGCCAGCAGCCGCGGUAAUACGUAGGUCCCGAGCGUUGUCCGGAUUUAUUGGGCGUAAAGCGAGCGCAGGCGGUUUGAUAAGUCUGAAGUUAAAGGCUGUGGCUCAACCAUAGUUCGCUUUGGAAACUGUCAAACUUGAGUGCAGAAGGGGAGAGUGGAAUUCCAUGUGUAGCGGUGAAAUGCGUAGAUAUAUGGAGGAAUACCGGUGGCGAAAGCGGCUCUCUGGUCUGUAACUGACGCUGAGGCUCGAAAGCGUGGGGAGCGAACAGGAUUAGAUACCCUGGUAGUCCACGCCGUAAACGAUGAGUGCUAGGUGUUGGAUCCUUUCCGGGAUUCAGUGCCGCAGCUAACGCAUUAAGCACUCCGCCUGGGGAGUACGACCGCAAGGUUG
RNAcentral lists this ribosomal RNA (550 nucleotides) under uncultured bacterium. Its description in RNAcentral is "bacterial SSU rRNA". It matches the Rfam family "Bacterial small subunit ribosomal RNA", at positions 355 to 896 of the family's 1533-position model. The record is from RNAcentral.